CCACAACUACAACCGCUCAAAGUAAGUUUUAAGUGUCUGUUAUUGAUCGCUUACAAUGGCGAGUCUAAGUCUAAUG
This is a regulatory RNA element of Vagococcus lutrae LBD1, 76 nucleotides long. The record is from Rfam. NCBI's taxonomy places the organism in Bacteria, Bacillati, Bacillota, Bacilli, Lactobacillales, Enterococcaceae.